CGCGUAGGUGACCUACCUCUUAGCGGGGAUAACACAGAGAAAUUUGUGCUAAUACCGCAUACGAAGCACGACAUUGGAAAAGUGCUUGAAAGGAUGCUCCGGCAUUCACUAAGAGAUGGGCCUGCGUAGCAUUAGCUAGUUGGUGGGGUAAAGGCUUACCAAGGCGACGAUGCUUAGCUGGUCUGAGAGGAUGAUCAGCCACACUGGAACUGAGACACGGUCCAGACUCCUACGGGAGGCAGCAGUGGGGAAUAUUGCGCAAUGGGGGAAACCCUGACGCAGCAAUGCCGCGUGAGUGAG
This 300-nucleotide ribosomal RNA is filed under the name uncultured Bacteriovorax sp. Its description in RNAcentral is "bacterial SSU rRNA". It matches the Rfam family "Bacterial small subunit ribosomal RNA", at positions 114 to 409 of the family's 1533-position model. Lineage: Bacteria; Pseudomonadati; Bdellovibrionota; Bacteriovoracia; Bacteriovoracales; Bacteriovoracaceae. The record is from RNAcentral.